GUGGGGAAUAUUGGACAAUGGGCGAAAGCCUGAUCCAGCCAUGCCGCGUGUGUGAAGAAGGUCUUCGGAUUGUAAAGCACUUUAAGUUGGGAGGAAGGGCAGUAAGUUAAUACCUUGCUGUUUUGACGUUACCGACAGAAUAAGCACCGGCUAACUUCGUGCCAGCAGCCGCGGUAAUACGAAGGGUGCAAGCGUUAAUCGGAAUUACUGGGCGUAAAGCGCGCAUAGGUGGUUUUGUAAGUUGGAGGUGAAAUCCCCGGGCUCAACCUGGGAACUGCCUCCAAAACUGCAUGACUAGAGUACGGUAGAGGGUAGUGGAAUUUCCUGUGUAGCGGUGAAAUGCGUAGAUAUAGGAAGGAACACCAGUGGCGAAGGCGACUACCUGGACUGAUACUGACACUGAGGUGCGAAAGCGUGGGGAGCAAACAGGAUUAGAUACCCCGGUAGUCC
Molecule: ribosomal RNA, 450 nt
Filed under: uncultured bacterium
Lineage: Bacteria
Description: bacterial SSU rRNA
Rfam family: Bacterial small subunit ribosomal RNA
Source: RNAcentral